RNAcentral lists this ribosomal RNA (540 nucleotides) under uncultured bacterium. RNAcentral describes it as "bacterial SSU rRNA". It matches the Rfam family "Bacterial small subunit ribosomal RNA", at positions 355 to 896 of the family's 1533-position model. The record is from RNAcentral.
UGAGGAAUAUUGGUCAAUGGGCGGGAGCCUGAACCAGCCAAGUAGCGUGCAGGAUGACGGCCCUAUGGGUUGUAAACUGCUUUUGUAUGGGGAUAAAGCCAAUCACGUGUGAUUGUUUGCAGGUACCAUACGAAUAAGGACCGGCUAAUUCCGUGCCAGCAGCCGCGGUAAUACGGAAGGUCCGGGCGUUAUCCGGAUUUAUUGGGUUUAAAGGGAGCGUAGGCCGGAGAUUAAGUGUGUUGUGAAAUGUAGACGCUCAACGUCUGACUUGCAGCGCAUACUGGUUUCCUUGAGUACGCACAACGUUGGCGGAAUUCGUCGUGUAGCGGUGAAAUGCUUAGAUAUGACGAAGAACUCCGAUUGCUAAGGCAGCUGACGGGAGCGCAACUGACGCUUAAGCUCGAAGGUGCGGGUAUCAAACAGGAUUAGAUACCCUGGUAGUCCGCACAGUAAACGAUGGAUGCCCGCUGUUGGUACCUGGUAUCAGCGGCUAAGCGAAAGCAUUAAGCAUCCCACCUGGGGAGUACGCCGGCAACGGUG